Long non-coding RNA from Moschus moschiferus (Siberian musk deer), 279 nucleotides. Lineage: Eukaryota; Metazoa; Chordata; Mammalia; Artiodactyla; Moschidae. The record is from Ensembl.
GGCUGGGGGGGCGCUGGGUGUGGGGCGGCUCCGGGGCCGGGGAUGGCGGCGGCCGCUGUUGCGGCGGCUCCGGGACCAGCGGGAGGACCCCGGGGAGCGCCGUGAGAUGGGCCGGCUCCCAAGCCAGUGGGGAGGACACUGCUUCUUAUUACAGCUUCUCAGAAGCACCACUGGAAGCUCAGAUGUGGGCGCCCCAGCCAACAGCACAGAGGGGUGCAGGGGAGCCACAAAGAAGCCCCUUCUGAUGCCCCAAGGAGCAAGCCGACCCCUUCCAGGCUC